Molecule: ribosomal RNA, 465 nt
Filed under: uncultured bacterium
Lineage: Bacteria
Description: partial 16S ribosomal RNA
Rfam family: Bacterial small subunit ribosomal RNA
Source: RNAcentral
GACGAACGCUGGCGGCGUGCUUAACACAUGCAAGUCGAACGGAAAGGCCCCCUUGUGGGGUACUCGAGUGGCGAACGGGUGAGUAACACGUGAGUAACCUACCCUUGACUUUGGGAUAACUUCAGGAAACUGGGGCUAAUACCGGAUAGGAGCUCCUGCUGCAUGGUGGGGGUUGGAAAGUUUCGGCGGUUGGGGAUGGACUCGCGGCUUAUGAGCUUGUUGGUGGGGUAGUGGCUCACCAAGGCUCUGACGGGUAGCCGGCCUGAGAGGGUGACCGGCCACAUUGGGCCUGCGAUACGGCCCAGACUCCUACGGGAGGCAGCAGUGGGGAAUAUUGCACAAUGGGCGGAAGCGUGAUGCAGCAACGCCGCGUGCGGGAUGACGGCCUUCGGGUUGUAAACCGCUUUCGCAGGUGACGAAGCGUGAGUGACGGUAACGGGUAAAGAAGCACCGGCUAACUACGUG